This 253-nucleotide ribosomal RNA is filed under the name uncultured bacterium. Its description in RNAcentral is "partial 16S ribosomal RNA". It matches the Rfam family "Bacterial small subunit ribosomal RNA", at positions 524 to 776 of the family's 1533-position model. The record is from RNAcentral.
GACAGAGGGUGCAAGCGUUGUUCGGAUUUAUUGGGCGUAAAGAGCGUGUAGGCGGCCAGGUAGGUCCGUUGUGAAAACUCGAGGCUCAACCUCGAGACGUCGGCGGAAACCCUCUGGCUAGAGUCCGGAAGAGGAGAGUGGAAUUCCUGGUGUAGCGGUGAAAUGCGCAGAUAUCAGGAAGAACACCCGUGGCGAAGGCGGCUCUCUGGGACGGUACUGACGCUGAGACGCGAAAGCGUGGGGAGCAAACAGG